CAGUCUCUUUCGUGCCAUCUACCUUCGAAGGAAGGAACACUUUUAGAGUUACAAUGAUGAGGAGAGGAGCGGGACAAUACUCAAUCCUAUACCAAGUCGAUUGAGAUUAGUUUCCUACUGGGAGUAAGUGCCUGGCCCUGCUACUCCUAUUUGAAUGCUAUUAAUAUUACCUAGCCUUUUACAAAGGAUACUUUGUAAAUGUCUGCUGUUGGAACUUGAUGUUAAUCCAUUUUGGUCAUAGCCAUAUUAGAGAGAUUUGCACAGAAUGUAAAGGCAAAAGCAUAGGAAACACCUUCCUUUCUAAAGCAACAGCCUUAUCACCUUGACCUCUGUCCCUCUUCAGAACAUUCUUCCCUGGAACCAGUGCUCCACAUCUUUCUUUUCCUCUGAGAGCUGCAGCUGGCAGGGACCUCCCUCUGCUGCUCCUCCAGCAAGCCACAGAGCAUACCCUCACGUGACAAGAGUGUGGUAGGUUUUCUCCCCACUUUUCACACACGCCUGGUGGUUGUGGUUCCAUCUGCCUUGUUGGCUUGCCCGGGGGGAUUCAACACUUGACUUUCAAAUCAAAGAAUGCUAAUGCUUAGCACUUGCUGUUGAGCAUGCUCUAACUUUUAAAGCCCUGGCCUCCUGUCUCCUUAGCUGCUUAGCUACGCGGCCUAGCAGAUCAUCACCCAUCAGUAAUCCUGUGGCUAGAUCCAGGGGAAAAUUGCUUAUGUCCAGGCCCCACCCCUGUCACUCAUAAAUACCCCUUGUGGGGGUGGAAUUUUAGUGUUUUCAGCUAAGAAAACCACAUUUUCUCUUUCCUUGCCUCUGCUAGGACUGUGAGCAUCUCAUAGUCCACUCCCUAAACACUUUCUGGUAACACCUAGUUUUCCGCCUGAGGGUCAGAGGCUAGAAUCAUUGCCUGCACAGCAGGACUACCUUGGUUCUUAAAACUUGGAUCACCCAGGCAAGGCGUGGUGGCUCACGCCUGUCAUCUCAGCACUUUGGGAGACUGAGGCUGGUGGAUCACUUGAGGCCACGAGUUUGAGACCAGCCUGACCAACGUGGUGAAACCCCAUCUCUACUAAAAAUACAAAAAUUAGCCAGGCGUGGUGGUGGGCACCUGUAAUCCCAGCUACUUGGGAGGCUGAGGCAGGAGAAUCCCUUGAACCCAGGAGGCGGAGGUUGCAGUGAGCAGAGAUGGUGCCGCUGCAGUCCAGCCUGGGUGACAGAGCGAGACUCUGUCUCCAAAACAAAACAAAAACCACACACACAUACAGAAAUAAAGAGAAAUAAUCAACUAGAAAAAAAACAAAACUUGGAUCACCCAGAAAGAGCGUCACAGAGGCGAGGGAGAAUGAAGCCUCUUGUUAUCCUGAUCGCCUAUGACAACGACAUUUCUAACUCUUCUUUGAAGCGCAGUUCUUACUCUUAAAUCUGGUCAUACAAGCUUUGGCUUGGAAUCCUGUCUGUCUUUGAAACAGCUGAAGUUAGUGUUUUCCUGUGUUACCCAGUGUUACAUAGUCUCAUCUUUGAACUUUUCUGCGUCAGCCUUCUCUCUUUGGGAAUGCUGCCUGUUUCUGUCUAACUUAUUCUCCCUGGUGUGGUGUGGCAGUGAAGUCUGUGCUGAAGCCCAUCUGCUUGGUUCCUCCAAGUGCACAUUAUGCAAGUGUAUUUGGAUAGACAGGGAGAUGCCCGGAACGUGGUUUUCCUCCUCCCUCCCUAUUGGAGCCAUACCUCCUAAAUAUAUUGUCUGGGUCCCAAAUGUUUGAGCCCUCUUCCUCUGCUCUCAGUGGGCUGCUCUUGGCAUGCCCUGUGCUUGGAACGGGACCUGCAGGCUGACAGGCCUCUGAGACUGCUAGGGCCAGCAAACGUACAUGUUAUUGGGAAACUCCCUUUCCCCUUUUGGUGAGCUUCUACCACCUCAGUCUAAUCGUUUUGACUGAAAGCUAUUUGUCUGACUGAAAGCUAAAAUCUUUUAUAGUGUGGCCUGUUAGAUACUUUGGGGUAAAUGUGGUCUGAGGUGCUGGACUAGCACGGGUAGAUGGAGAAAGCUGUUGGGAAGUUGCAUAAUGUGGUCAUCUGUGCCUAAUUAAAUGAGGUUAGAGGUGUGCACACCACCACAAUGCCUGGGAUCUAAAUCUUCAGAUAUUAACGUUUGAGGCUAUGGAGCUGUUUCCCUGAAUCACACACGAGAAAGCAGUCAACAUGGGUGGGCCAAAUGUGGCCAAGAUGAGAGAGCCAGAAGUGUUGGCCUUAGAGCAGAGCCUCUGUGUGUGAGACAUUAGAAGGCCAGAGCCGGGGAGGUGCCGGCGCAGCCACUGCCUUCCGGUGGGCCGGACGGAAAGCUUGGUCUUAUGCUAGAUUCAGAAGCACUGAAGAAUGGAGGUUGACACUUUAGAGGACUAGGAAGGGAUCAUUUGUGCUCUUGCAGCUAUUGCUGAUAGCUAGAGCCAAAGACCAUUAUAUUGCUGAGGCUUGGGUAAGAAAGUUAGGGAUGUGAGGAGGUUGAAAAUCCUGAAGAAGAGAAAAAAUAUGAGGGAGGCUAAGGAAACUUAGCCACUUUCUGAUCACUGAUGACUCCUUAGGCUGCACCUGAGUGAUGGUGGUGUUUUUGGAGGCUGUACCUGAGUGAUGGUGGUUUUUGGGGGGCUGCACCUGAGCGAUAGUGAUUUUUUUUUGGAGGCUGCACAGCUGGUCAGACCAUCUCUAGAUGUUCUUUCCACAGUGGUUCAUAGGGCGUCAUUCCCCCUUCCUGGAUUAUUUUGACUAUGGGUAGCUUAUUUUCAAGAGCUCUUUGCCUUUUUAAUCCUGUUCCAGAUCACUUAUCCAAAAUCUUUCCAAAUCAAUUAUAUUUUGCUGCUUUUCUUUAAUUCCCUAAAAGCCAUAGCUUCUAGAUUUUCUAUCAGCACACAUUCUCACCAGAAGUUGAACCAAUACAGGUAGAAAAAGAAAGCCCCCUUAAUGUUUUUAACUGAUGAUAUUUUUUUAAGCUUACCAAUAUAAGUAUUUUUAAAGGUUCUAUUUUUCAAAGUCAUAACAAUGAUUGUUCUUGUUUUCUCUCAUAGAAUAGACUGCCAUCGGAUAAAGAGUGGUCCCUAGCUUCUAUUUUUCCAAGUAAAUAAGUAGAACAUGUUCUUGGGAUUAUACCAUUAAAUGUUAAUUUUCUUGAAGAAGAAAGAUUGUUGUCUGCCAAGAUUUUAUGUUAGCGCUCGGAUUGAGGCAGAAAACGGAAGCACCAGGUUUAACACUGGGAUGACUUGGGUUGUGUUCCUGGAGGUUUGAAGUGGGCCUUCCCGCCUUUUGAGGGGGAAAACUGACUGUUUUGAACACAUAUCCUGGAUUAGUUGGGUUGUUUUGUAUUGAGGAUCCCUAAAAGACAAAAGAGUCUUGGAAAGGACUGCUGGCUUCGUCUUGAACGUUCGCCCCAUCACCAGUGUGAGUCCGUGGGGAAGUCUUCCUCAAGUGGGGUUCAGUCUGUAAUUUUCCUGUCUGUUCUUAGUUUGUUCUGAGUUAUUUUGGAUUUUGUUCUUUAGCCAAAUAAAGGCAGUGUGGUUUUACCUG
Molecule: long non-coding RNA, 3546 nt
Filed under: Homo sapiens (human)
Lineage: Eukaryota; Metazoa; Chordata; Mammalia; Primates; Hominidae
Description: non-protein coding lnc-ZDHHC19-3:1
Source: RNAcentral